This 490-nucleotide ribosomal RNA is filed under the name uncultured bacterium. Its description in RNAcentral is "partial 16S ribosomal RNA". It matches the Rfam family "Bacterial small subunit ribosomal RNA", at positions 30 to 507 of the family's 1533-position model. The record is from RNAcentral.
AUUGAACGCUGGCGGCAGGCCUAACACAUGCAAGUCGAACGGUAACAGGAAGCAGCUUGCUGCUUUGCUGACGAGGGGCGGACGGGUGAGCAAUGUCUGCGAAACUGCCUGAUGGAGGGGGAUAACUACUGGAAACGGUAGCUAAUACCGCAUAACGUCGCAAGACCAAAGAGGGGGACCUUCGGGCCUCUUGCCAUCGGAUGUGCCCAGAUGGGGUUAGUUAGUAGGUGGGGUAACGGCUCACCUAGGCGACGAUCCCUAGCUGGUCUGAGAGGAUGACCAGCCACACUGGAACUGAGACACGGUCCAGACUCCUACGGGAGGCAGCAGUGGGGAAUAUUGCACAAUGGGCGCAAGCCUGAUGCAGCCAUGCCGCGUGUAUGAAGAAGGCCUUCGGGUUGUAAAGUACUUUCAGCGGGGAGGAAGGGAGUAAAGUUAAUACCUUUGCUCAUUGACGUUACCCGCAGAAGAAGCACCGGCUAACUCCGUG